UACGUGUGUGGAGGUCGAUAAACUAAACAUGUGUUUCCUAGUAAUGGCGAAUGAACAGGAACUGGCACAUAGUGGAAUGCAGGGCUUCUUGUUCUGGCUUGUAGUCGCAAGAUGUACUAGCAACAGUGGUGCAGGUGUGAACCUUUUGGAAAGGAGUAUUGGCAAGGGUGGGAACACCAUCUUGGCACCUGUAGUACUUUCGGUGCAUGUUAUACACUCUCAGAGUCACGCUCUUUGAGCCUGGAGCGCGAAGUGGGUGGUAGGCUUCACCUAACGCUUCACAUCGGCCUGAAACCGAUAGCAAACAAGUACCAUGAGGGGAAAGUGAACAAGGACUUUGGAAAGAAAGUUAAACGUGCUUAGGCUUGUUGAAAGGAAAAGUGGUUGUAACCGGUGUGGCUUGGUGAGAUUGUUGUGUGCCAGAGUAGGUGCCUGCUGGCCUGUCACACUGUCGCGGUGAGCCAUCUAACACUGUGUGCUCAAUGUUUCCCCUUUACUUACAUGUGUCAGCCAGCACUGGCUUAUGUGUGGUGAAACAAGCAUGGCAUGGCAGUCUGUCCCAGGGUAGGCGGGUGUGUCCUCUUGUGUCCAUGCACAUGCUUUCGAUGGCAACAUGGUUGCCACCAGCCCGUCUUGAAACACGGACCAAGGAAUCUAACACACAUGCAAGUUCCCGGGUGCGAACACCUAGCCGCACACGGAAAGUGUUUGCUUGGACGCUUGCACCAACAACUGACCAUCCAAGUGAGUGAUGUUUGAGUGUGAACAUGUUUGUUAGGUCCCGAAAGAUAGCGAGCUAUGCCUGUGCAGGGCAAACCCAGAGGAAACUCUGAUGGAGGCCCGCAGCGAUACUGACGUGCAAAUCGUUCGUCGUACAUGGGCAUAUGGGGCGAAAGACUAAUCGAGCCAUCUAGUAGCUGGUUCCCUCCGAAGUUUCCCCCAGGAUAGCUGGAGUUGAACAGUUUCACUAGGUAAAGCGAAUGGUUGGGGGGAUUCAGGGACGCGCUGUCCUUGACCUACUUCGAAACUUUAAAUGGGUAAGCGUCAGUUGCUAUUUUGUGUGAGCUUCUGGAAUGCAUGACAACUUUAAGUGGGCCAUUUUUGGUAAGCAGAACUGGUGAUGAGGGAUGAACCUAACGUUGGGUUAAGGCGCUUCAUUGCUCGCUCAUCAGAUACCAUAAAGGGUGUUGGUUCAUUAAAACAGCAGGACAGUGGUCAUGGAAGUCGAAAUCCGCUAAGGAGUGUGUAACAACUCACCUGCCGAAU
RNAcentral lists this ribosomal RNA (1266 nucleotides) under Protoperidinium latidorsale. RNAcentral's name for it is "partial large subunit ribosomal RNA". It matches the Rfam family "Eukaryotic large subunit ribosomal RNA", at positions 43 to 1302 of the family's 3401-position model. Lineage: Eukaryota; Dinophyceae; Peridiniales; Protoperidiniaceae. The record is from RNAcentral.